AAGCGUUGCCGCAGGCAACGACCCGAAGGGCGAAGCGCGCAGCGCUGAGUAAUCCUUCCCCCACCACCA
This 69-nucleotide small RNA is filed under the name Citrobacter freundii. Its description in RNAcentral is "partial RtT sRNA". It matches the Rfam family "RtT RNA", at positions 63 to 130 of the family's 130-position model. From Rfam's summary of the family: This family represents a bacterial cis-regulatory element known as RtT RNA. The exact function of RtT is unknown although it is thought that it may be involved in changing the cellular response in relation to amino acid starvation. RNAcentral also lists the same sequence under 6 other names. The record is from RNAcentral. Lineage: Bacteria; Pseudomonadati; Pseudomonadota; Gammaproteobacteria; Enterobacterales; Enterobacteriaceae.